This 884-nucleotide unclassified non-coding RNA is filed under the name Bombus terrestris (buff-tailed bumblebee). Its description in RNAcentral is "misc RNA ENSBTSG00005027174.1". The record is from RNAcentral. Lineage: Eukaryota; Metazoa; Arthropoda; Insecta; Hymenoptera; Apidae.
AGCGCGUUGCUAACGGCAAAGGGCAACAACCACGCCGUGAACACAGAUUGUAGCGCGCUGUUAACCAAGGCCAGGUCGAAUUUAACGCUACAAUACGCAUUUUCACUUGACAGUGACCUUUCCUGUUCUCUCUUGCGAUUCACGAGAAAUUUUCAAUCGGUCUCGAUACACGUGUUACGCUUUGUAGUGUAAUGCCUUUGGUCGAUUAGCGUCAAUUGUGCACGCUUUUCGUUUGAAAUUCGCGCUUCAAAGUGUCCAGCUGGGUCUGCGUGUGUCCUUUCCGUGAAUCGUGCCCGAGGAUGCAACGACGAAGAUUACCGGAUGCCAUGUUGCUGCUGGUCAGAGCAGCUGUUCUCGCAGCUGUCUUGGGACUGUUCCUGGGAUCGAGCCAUGCAAACAGGCCCGCCGGUGCGCAUCCCGGCCACGCGUACUUCGAGCAACCUUGUUGCGGACGCUCUCAUCUCAGGCAUCAUAAAGGUAAGCCCCCAGACGGUUUCAAAGUGAGUCGUGCACUCGUUCGGGGUCGGGAACGGGGCUCGUUCGCAUUUUCGGUGAGUAAACAGCGCGUAUCGACGCACGCAUAAUUAGUAGCCGACACCCCCGGAAGGCCGUCGAAUUUUCUGACGGGCAGGGUUGCUCGCUAGGGUUUUUCUGUAACGAGGAUACCCUUUUAUCCCCGCGCCUCGAUCCUCUCGCACGCAACCCAGGCCUCGUGUAUACAUGCGCGUACACGCAGGGUUCGUUUAACGUCGUUCUUUUAGUUCACCCCGCUGCCAGCUGGCCUUGCAUUUUUGUUAACUAGCAAGAGGGUGCGCCUCGACCCGAGCUGAUAUAGUUUAUUUACGUUCUCAAUUAACACUCGAUGCGACCGACAAGCUAGGGCC